RNAcentral lists this ribosomal RNA (375 nucleotides) under uncultured eukaryote. RNAcentral's name for it is "SSU rRNA". It matches the Rfam family "Eukaryotic small subunit ribosomal RNA", at positions 587 to 972 of the family's 1831-position model. The record is from RNAcentral.
AGCUCUGUAAGCGUAUACCAAAGUUGUUGCAGUUAAAACGCUCGUAGUCGGAUUUUGGCGUGUGCUACUGAUUCUCCUGAAGGACGUUGAUGUAGCUCCGCCUUUGUGGAGGGGGGUGCGGUGGUGCUUUAUUGUAUUGCCGCAUUUCCGCCACUGUUUACUGUGAAAAAAUUAGAGUGUUCAAAGCGAGCGAUUGCCAUGAAUACAUUAGCAUGGAAUAAUAGAAUAGGACCUGGUCCUGUUUUAUUGGUUUGUCGGUAUCAGGUAAUGAUUAAGAGGGACGGUCGGGGGCAUUUGUAUUCCAGCGCUAGAGGUGAAAUUCUUGGAUUGCUGGAAGACAAACAGCUGCGAAAGCGUCUGCCAAGGACGUUUUCA